ACGCUCGACACCUACGGGAGACAGCAGUGGGGAAUAUUGCACAAUGGGGGAAACCCUGAUGCAGCGACGCCGCGUGAGCGAAGAAGUAUUUCGGUAUGUAAAGCUCUAUCAGCAGGGAAGAAGAAAGACGGUACCUGACUAAGAAGCCCCGGCUAACUACGUGCCAACAGCCGCGGUAAUCUGAGCGGGCUGGCAAGGC
Molecule: ribosomal RNA, 199 nt
Filed under: uncultured bacterium
Lineage: Bacteria
Description: partial 16S ribosomal RNA
Rfam family: Bacterial small subunit ribosomal RNA
Source: RNAcentral